Molecule: long non-coding RNA, 296 nt
Organism: Acanthochromis polyacanthus (spiny chromis)
Lineage: Eukaryota; Metazoa; Chordata; Actinopteri; Pomacentridae
Exons: 3
Source: RefSeq, a predicted model, not a curated record
ACAUGGUGGAAGAAUCUGCUCACUCUCUAGCUACACAGGGCCAGUUUUAAGGAGAAAAUGGGCACAGCAGGCCACCUUAUCCCCCAUCUCUGCUGGAGCAAAUAGGAACUGGUGCUGAAAUCUCUUUCAGCUCCACAAAUGAUGAUCUGGUAACCGGAGAUGAGCCGUGAUGCAAACACCCGAACAACAGCAGCUGUCUAGCACAUGUAAAAAUGACAUUUAGCUCAAAUGAAAUUAUGCUGCUGAGUCAUGAUGUUAACCUUGUAAAUUCCGAAACUGGUUUAAGCUAGUGCCAU